UGGCUCUGGCAUCGAUGAAGAACGCAGCGAAAUGCGAUAAGUAAUGUGAAUUGCAGAAUUCAGUGAACCAUCGAAUCUUUGAACGCACAUUGCGCCCGCCAGUAUUCUGGCGGGCAUGCCUGUUCGAGCGUCAUUAACACCCCUCAAGCCCCCGGGCUUGGUGUUGGGGAUCGGGAAUCGCCGAUGGCGGACGCGCCCCUCCGGGGGCCCUUCGCCGGCCCGCGCCCCGUCCCCCAAAUGCAUCGGCGGUCACGCCGCGGCCUCUUGCGCGUAGUAGUAAACAACCUCGCGCCGGAGCCCGACGUGGUCCACGCCGUAAAAACCCCCGACUUUUUACCAAGUUGACCUCGAAUCAGGUAGGACUACCCGCUGA
This 373-nucleotide unclassified non-coding RNA is filed under the name uncultured fungus. RNAcentral's name for it is "partial contains 5.8S ribosomal RNA and internal transcribed spacer 2". The stretch from base 1 to 133 matches the Rfam family "5.8S ribosomal RNA", at positions 22 to 154 of the family's 154-position model. The record is from RNAcentral. Lineage: Eukaryota; Fungi.